Molecule: non-coding RNA, 74 nt
Organism: Myotis lucifugus (little brown bat)
Lineage: Eukaryota; Metazoa; Chordata; Mammalia; Chiroptera; Vespertilionidae
Source: Rfam
GGUGGGGGGGGGGGCUCCCUCAGCCUGGAUUGCGAGAGGGUGCAAGCCAGGCUGAGGGACACCACCAGUGCACA